RNAcentral lists this ribosomal RNA (230 nucleotides) under uncultured bacterium. RNAcentral's name for it is "partial 16S ribosomal RNA". It matches the Rfam family "Bacterial small subunit ribosomal RNA", at positions 99 to 334 of the family's 1533-position model. The record is from RNAcentral.
CGGACGGGUGAGUAAUGUCUGGGAAACUGCCGAUGGAGGGGGAUAACUACUGGAAACGGUAGCUAAUACCGCAUAACGUCGCAAGACCAAAGAGGGGACCUUCGGGCCUCUUGCCAUCGGAUGUGCCCAGAUGGGAUUAGCUAGUAGGUGGGGUAAUGGCUCACCUAGGCGACGAUCCCUAGCUGGUCUGAGAGGAUGACCAGCCACACUGGAACUGAGACACGGUCCAG